UUCCUUGUGUUCUUCAGAAGUUACUGCAGCCAGUGCGCAUGCUGUUUCUCCAAUCAGGAAAAGGGAAGUAUUUAAUUUCUUUAAUUAUGAUGUCCUUUUAGAGUGGGUUUUUCUAUUUUAAGCUGCACAUACCUGUUAUAUCUUUAUGAAUGGUAGCGCACGAUAAAACUGUGUAUCCUGCAAUUAUAAAAAAAGACGGAUAAUAUAACUAUGGAUUUAAAAAUACAUUCAGUGCUUACACUUUGGUGCACAAUGUCUUAAAGGUUACUCUAAAUUUUUAGAUCCAUAGUGCCCAUAAGAGUUAGCAACCCUCUUUUUCCCAAAUAGUGGGGAAAAUCAAAUGGAGUUUAAAAAUGAAGUCUGUUUUUGCUGGAGUUAGAGGGAGUUUAGGACUGAGAUGGUUGACUACUGGAGGGCGACACCUAAGCUUAAUAUGGAGUCUUAGGCUAAAGUUUAUGUGGCCUUAUUUUUUAUGAAUUACCAGUAAAACCAAACCCUGGAUGGGGGACAGUUUGGGGAUCCAAAUGGAUUGAAGGCAAACAGAGUUUUGUCAUUGAUUUCAUUGGGAUUUCUAGCAGGCCCUGCCUCCGGAUCUGAAUUCUUUGUUUAAAUACAGGCGGAAACCACCAGACACAUGUGCCUUACCACUUCAAAAUUAUGUUCAGCAUGGGAAAUUAGCUGCAUACCUUUCUGGAGAGCUUAGAACAGGGCUGGGCAAAAUAUGGCCCACAGGCUGGAUCCUGUUGUGACAUCGGUGUUGGAAAUGCAGCUAGAAAAUAUUGAUCUGUGGUCCAGCAAAUUCUCUGGUUCGGCGUCGAUCAAGUCCCAAGGGUGCCGCGCUAGAGAGGUUCAACCUGUAGUUCUUUUAAACUAAGUUGUUCACAUUGGAACAAGCUGACCAGUGUUCUAUGCUGAGGGGAGAAAAACCUUCUGUAUCUACUUUCCUCAACAGUGAAGGAUUGGCCCUGAGCCAUGUAACCCAGGAGUCACUUCUCAUUUUAAAACUUUUAAAAUCUUUUGAAAAGCCCCACAGCCAGGAGCAGAAAGAGGAGAAAAGGAGGGGAGAAGAGACACAAAUAAGAGAGGAGCGAGAAAAGCAGGGGAGAGACAAGGAGAUGAGAAAGAAGGGAGAGGAACCAUGCCACUGAAAAGCAAGCGCUUCUGGGAAGGAAUUUUUUAAAGGUUAUAAAAUUACAUUCAGAAGGACAAUGGAAGAGGAGCAGGUAAAAAAAGAUUAGCACAAACGUGAGCCCUGAUCCUGUGCAGACAGACAUCUGUGCAGCAAUUUGCCAGUUGGGAGCUGCUUGCAAAACAGACACCCUGGUCAUGACCCAGCAGGGACUGUAAACAUGGGCAUAAUGUUAAACUUCAGUGAAGCCAAGGGGACGACCAGCAUGUUUGAGUUCCUCAUGACUUGGUGCUAAAUUGAGUAAACGCCCUUCCAAUAAGCAAGGGAAUGAGAAAAGAGGAAGCUGCAAAGAUCCAGAAACACGAUGCUGCACAUCCCUUGUCAUGAGAUUCGCCCUCCGGCUGAAACACAAUGACAGAACGCAGCUGGCAGGAUGGGGACUGGCGCUGGCAUUUUGGAAGGACAAUUAACCAUUUCACUCAGCAAAAGGGAGACGUAUUUUUCUAAAUGAACCCCAGACUGUUUCAGUGCAAGAUAUUUGUCACAGACACCCCAGAAUCACUGCUAGCCUUUCAAAACUAGGCACCUCCUGCUGGGUGCUUAACUUGCUUAUGCAAUUACCCAUGUCACUUUGGUAUUAGCUGCACUAAUGCAGUAAUUGUGUGCCCAAUUUGCACACACACUUGCACAUGAAAGACAGCCUGAGGAUGAGUGAGUGAAUGGUUAGAUAUAUUGGAGGGGAAAGAGAAAUGGUUUUUCUGCUGCUUUUUAGAAAUACCAGGAAUGUCAAAUCUUGUCUCUGCUGUUUGUUUUUUUUAAAUUGGAGGACUUCCUGGGUAACUCAGACAAGGGUUGGGUGCUUUUCAUCCCUUGAUUCAAAGCCUGGGGUUACUGACCCUGAACAAAGAGCUUUUUGCCCAAAAGUUUUCAGCGAUGCCAGUGUUCCUGAUAAUUCUUGUUACCCUGCUCUUGCAGUCAUGUGAGGCUGCAAGAACCUUGGAUUUUCUUUUUUCAUGUGUGUUAAGCAAAUUUCUAGCCCUGAUGGCUGUGAAGGGAAGCUGGAGUGCAUCACCGCAGAAGAGUCAAAAAAACGGAAGGAAAAUAUAA
Molecule: non-coding RNA, 2236 nt
Organism: Pelodiscus sinensis (Chinese soft-shelled turtle)
Lineage: Eukaryota; Metazoa; Chordata; Testudines; Trionychidae
Source: RefSeq, a predicted model, not a curated record